This 617-nucleotide ribosomal RNA is filed under the name Auritella sp. PSC632. RNAcentral's name for it is "eukaryotic LSU rRNA". It matches the Rfam family "Eukaryotic large subunit ribosomal RNA", at positions 55 to 643 of the family's 3401-position model. Lineage: Eukaryota; Fungi; Basidiomycota; Agaricomycetes; Agaricales; Inocybaceae. The record is from RNAcentral.
GGAAAAGAAACUAACAAGGAUUCCCCUAGUAACUGCGAGUGAAGCGGGAAAAGCUCAAAUUUCAAAUCUGGUGUCUCUACCGUCCGACUUGUAAUCUACAGAAGUGCCGCCCGCGCUACGACCUAUGUACAACUCUCCUGGAAUGGAGCGUCAUAUAAGGUGACAAUCUCGUCUUUGACAUGGCCUUUCUGGGGCUUAGUGGCACGCUCUCAAAGAGUCGAGUUGUUUGGGAAUGCAGCUCAAAAUUGGUGGUAAAUGCCAUCUAAAGCUAAAUACAGGCGAGAGACCGAUAGUGAACAAGUACCGUGAGGGAAAAAUGAAAAGAACUUUGGAAAGAGAGUUAAACAGUACGUGAAAUUGCUGAAAGGGAAACGCUUGAAGUCAGUCUCAUCAACUUGCAAUCAACCUUUGCUUCUGCUGGGUGCACUUUCUAGAUUCGAUGGCUCAGCAUCCAUUUUGGCCACUGGAAAAAGGCCGUAGGGAAUGUGACAUUCUUUGUGCAUGUGUUAUAGCCCAUGGUCAUAUGCAGUGGUUGGGAUUGACGAACUCAGCAUGCCCGCAAGGGCUGGGUUUUUUUAACCACAUCUCUGCUUAGGAUGCUGGCAUAAUGGCUUUAA